AGAGUUUGAUCAUGGCUCAGAUUGAACGCUGGCGGCAGGCCUAACACAUGCAAGUCGAGCGGAUGAGUGGAGCUUGCUCCAUGAUUCAGCGGCGGACGGGUGAGUAAUGCCUAGGAAUCUGCCUGGUAGUGGGGGACAACGUUUCGAAAGGAACGCUAAUACCGCAUACGUCCUACGGGAGAAAGUGGGGGAUCUUCGGACCUCACGCUAUCAGAUGAGCCUAGGUCGGAUUAGCUAGUUGGUGAGGUAAAGGCUCACCAAGGCGACGAUCCGUAACUGGUCUGAGAGGAUGAUCAGUCACACUGGAACUGAGACACGGUCCAGACUCCUACGGGAGGCAGCAGUGGGGAAUAUUGGACAAUGGGCGAAAGCCUGAUCCAGCCAUGCCGCGUGUGUGAAGAAGGUCUUCGGAUUGUAAAGCACUUUAAGUUGGGAGGAAGGGCAGUAAGUUAAUACCUUGCUGUUUUGACGUUACCAACAGAAUAAGCACCGGCUAACUUCGUGCCAGCAGCCGCGGUAAUACGAAGGGUGCAAGCGUUAAUCGGAAUUACUGGGCGUAAAGCGCGCGUAGGUGGUUCGUUAAGUUGGAUGUGAAAGCCCCGGGCUCAACCUGGGAACUGCAUCCAAAACUGGCGAGCUAGAGUAUGGCAGAGGGUGGUGGAAUUUCCUGUGUAGCGGUGAAAUGCGUAGAUAUAGGAAG
This 700-nucleotide ribosomal RNA is filed under the name Stutzerimonas stutzeri. Its description in RNAcentral is "bacterial SSU rRNA". It matches the Rfam family "Bacterial small subunit ribosomal RNA", at positions 8 to 703 of the family's 1533-position model. The record is from RNAcentral. Lineage: Bacteria; Pseudomonadati; Pseudomonadota; Gammaproteobacteria; Pseudomonadales; Pseudomonadaceae.